ACCCAGACUCCUACGGGAGGCAGCAGUGGGGAAUAUUGCACAAUGGGGGAAACCCUGAUGCAGCGACGCCGCGUGAGUGAAGAAGUAUUUCGGUAUGUAAAGCUCUAUCAGCAGGGAAGAAAAUGACGGUACCUGACUAAGAAGCCCCGGCUAACUACGUGCCAGCAGCCGCGGUAAUACGUAGGGGGCAAGCGUUAUCCGGAUUUACUGGGCGUAAAGGGAGCGUAGACGGCAUGGCAAGUCAGAUGUGAAAGCCCGGGGCUCAACCCCGGGACUGCAUUUGAAACUGUCAGGCUGGAGUGCAGGAGAGGUAAGUGGAAUUCCUAGUGUAGCGGUGAAAUGCGUAGAUAUUAGGAGGAACACCAGUGGCGAAGGCGGCUUACUGGACAGUAACUGACGUUGAGGCUCGAAAGCGUGGGGAGCAAACAGGAUUAGAUACCCCCGUAGC
RNAcentral lists this ribosomal RNA (448 nucleotides) under uncultured bacterium. RNAcentral describes it as "bacterial SSU rRNA". It matches the Rfam family "Bacterial small subunit ribosomal RNA", at positions 329 to 794 of the family's 1533-position model. The record is from RNAcentral.